This 500-nucleotide ribosomal RNA is filed under the name uncultured bacterium. RNAcentral's name for it is "partial 16S ribosomal RNA". It matches the Rfam family "Bacterial small subunit ribosomal RNA", at positions 30 to 523 of the family's 1533-position model. The record is from RNAcentral.
AUUGAACGCUGGCGGCAUGCUCUACACAUGCAAGUCGAACGGUAACAGGGUGCUUGCACCGCUGACGAGUGGCGAACGGGUGAGUAAUGCGUCGGAACGUGCCGAGUAGUGGGGGAUAACGCAGCGAAAGUUGUGCUAAUACCGCAUACGUACUGAGGUGGAAAGUGGGGGACCUUCGGGCCUUACGCUAUUCGAGCGGCCGACGUCUGAUUAGCUAGUAGGUGAGGUAAAGGCUCACCUAGGCGACGAUCAGUAGCGGGUCUGAGAGGAUGAUCCGCCACACUGGGACUGAGACACGGCCCAGACUCCUACGGGAGGCAGCAGUGGGGAAUUUUGGACAAUGGGCGAAAGCCUGAUCCAGCCAUGCCGCGUGUCUGAAGAAGGCCUUCGGGUUGUAAAGGACUUUUGUCAGGGAGGAAAUCCCUAGUGCUAAUAACACUGGGGGAUGACAGUACCUGAAGAAUAAGCACCGGCUAACUACGUGCCAGCCGCCGCAGUAA